Molecule: ribosomal RNA, 429 nt
Filed under: Chloroflexota bacterium
Lineage: Bacteria; Bacillati; Chloroflexota
Description: Chloroflexi bacterium partial 16S ribosomal RNA
Rfam family: Bacterial small subunit ribosomal RNA
Source: RNAcentral
UGGGGAAUAUUGCACAAUGGGCGCAAGCCUGAUGCAGCCAUGCCGCGUGUGUGAAGAAGGCCUUCGGGUUGUAAAGCACUUUCAGCGGGGAGGAAGGCGAUAAGGUUAAUAACCUCAUCGAUUGACGUUACCGCCAGAAGAAGCACCGGCUAACUCCGUGCCAGCAGCCGCGGUAAUACGGAGGGUGCAAGCGUUAAUCGGAAUUACUGGGCGUAAAGCGCACGCAGGCGGUUGAUUGAGUCAGAUGUGAAAUCCCCGGGCUUAACCCGGGAAUUGCAUCUGAUACUGGUCAGCUAGAGUCUUGUAGAGGGGGGUAGAAUUCCAUGUGUAGCGGUGAAAUGCGUAGAGAUGUGGAGGAAUACCGGUGGCGAAGGCGGCCCCCUGGACAAAGACUGACGCUCAGGUGCGAAAGCGUGGGGAGCAAACAGG